GACGAACGCUGGCGGCAUGCCUAACACAUGCAAGUCUAGGGGUAGCAAUACCACUGGCGCACGGGUGAGUAACACGUAGGUUAUCUGCCCCCAUCACAGACAUAACCCCGGGAAGCCGGGGCUAAUAUCUGAUGAGGUCGCGAGAUCAAAGCUUCGGCGGAUGGGGAUGAGCCUGCGGCUGAUUAGCUAGUUGGUGAGGUAAUGGCUCACCAAGGCGACGAUCAGUAGCUGGUCUGAGAGGACGAACAGCCACACUGGAACUGAGACACGGUCCAGACUCCUACGGGAGGCAGCAGUGAGGAAUAUUGGUCAAUGGGAGCAAUCCUGAACCAGCAAUGCCGCGUGUGGGAUGACAGGGCUUCGCCUUGUAAACCACUGUCGGACGGGACGAAAGAAGGCCUCGGGGCCUCUGGGACGGUACCGUCAAAGGAAGGGUCGGCUAACUACGUGCCAGCAGCCGCGGUAAU
This 467-nucleotide ribosomal RNA is filed under the name uncultured bacterium. Its description in RNAcentral is "bacterial SSU rRNA". It matches the Rfam family "Bacterial small subunit ribosomal RNA", at positions 28 to 524 of the family's 1533-position model. The record is from RNAcentral.